Molecule: non-coding RNA, 1103 nt
Organism: Chlorocebus sabaeus (green monkey)
Lineage: Eukaryota; Metazoa; Chordata; Mammalia; Primates; Cercopithecidae
Source: RefSeq, a predicted model, not a curated record
AAAAUAAAAGUUAAAAAUAAAUAAAUAAAUAAAAACACCAAAAAUUUUUUUUAAAAAAAUCAAAAGACCCAUUAAAUCAUCAGGUUGCAGCCUAGGGAACUGAUUAACAUUGGCUGAAUACAUGUUGUGUGCUAGGAUUAUUAGGCAUGUUAAUAAAAUCAUUGAAACAAAAAACAAAACAAAAAAGAUGUACAGAAGAAAAUUAGGUAAGUAGAAAGUAUUUCUCUUGAACUUCUUAUAAACAGUCAUGAAGAUGGAACUUCUUCAGGCACAUGCCUUUGAAUCUACCAUUGAAUUUGUUUUCCGCCUCACUAUGAUCAGAGGUGGCAAUUCUGAAUAGUUUAAGAAGGAGUCUGUUCGUGGGACAGGAGUGGGUGGGGUGGUGGGGUGUAUAUAUAUGUAUCUAUGAGUGAGAUUAAUAAAUGUGAUUCAAUGUAUAAUUUUAUUUUGUCCUAGGCCCUGCAUUCUAAGAUUUCAUGCUGGUAGGGAUGAUACCGGCCUUUUUUUUUUUUUUUUUUUUUUUUUGCCAGUUUUACAUACACAGCUAUCAGAUUAUUAUAAAUUUAAGAGUCAAUCCUGGAGUGACAUGAGUAGCAGAAUGCCAAGUCCAUGAGUCACUUGAUAACUACUGGACAUGCACAUGAGAAUAUGAUGAGGAUGGUGCCUUAGAAUGGGGAUUCUCAAUCUGAGGGUGACUUACUAGCAUGACUGUGCACUGGGAAAAAGGAGAUACCUAGACCAUGACUGUGCGCUGGGAAAAAGGAAAUACCCAGACUUUUCAGGUAUUCCUAGAUACUUAAUAUGAACUGAUGCUAUUCCUGGGCACUCCAAACUCUCUGUACUGUACCAGUCAAAUGGGAGCUUAUGGUGGCCAAGUGAUAGAUAGAGGCUUAGAUAGAGGUAGCAGUUAGCUGGUGAUUUCUUCCCUGGUUCCUGAAUGUAGAGUUAGAAUAGACAUACUUGGCAAUUGGCAAAAUCUCUGUUUCUUGCUACCAUGUCAAGCUUUACCCCUUUGAGUGUGUUAUUGUCUAUGAAUUUUUUUUUUUUUGAGACAGAGUUUUCCUCUUAUUUCCCAGGCUGGAGUGCAAUGGCAUGAUCUUGGC